AUUGAACGCUGGCGGCAGGCCUAACACAUGCAAGUCGAGCGGAUGAAGGGAGCUUGCUCCUGGAUUCAGCGGCGGACGGGUGAGUAAUGCCUAGGAAUCUGCCUGGUAGUGGGGGAUAACGUCCGGAAACGGGCGCUAAUACCGCAUACGUCCUGAGGGAGAAAGUGGGGGAUCUUCGGACCUCACGCUAUCAGAUGAGCCUAGGUCGGAUUAGCUAGUUGGUGGGGUAAAGGCCUACCAAGGCGACGAUCCGUAACUGGUCUGAGAGGAUGAUCAGUCACACUGGAACUGAGACACGGUCCAGACUCCUACGGGAGGCAGCAGUGGGGAAUAUUGGACAAAGGGCGAAAGCCUGAACCAGCCAUGCCGCGUGUGUGAAGAAGGUCUUCGGAUUGUAAAGCACUUUAAGUUGGGAGGAAGGGCAGUAAGUUAAUACCUUGCUGUUUUGACGUUACCAACAGAAUAAGCACCGGCUAACUUCGUG
RNAcentral lists this ribosomal RNA (484 nucleotides) under uncultured bacterium. Its description in RNAcentral is "partial 16S ribosomal RNA". It matches the Rfam family "Bacterial small subunit ribosomal RNA", at positions 30 to 507 of the family's 1533-position model. The record is from RNAcentral.